Molecule: long non-coding RNA, 354 nt
Filed under: Elaeis guineensis (African oil palm)
Lineage: Eukaryota; Viridiplantae; Streptophyta; Magnoliopsida; Arecales; Arecaceae
Description: long non-coding RNA (EGUI_LNC067600)
Source: RNAcentral
AUCACUAUGGUUACUUGCAAACAACUCACUAUGCUUUGGUGCUGGACUAUCUAAGUUUAUAAUUCAGUGAUGGAAGGUUUCUGGAUACAGUCAAGUACUUGUCAAGUAGGUGCAUGAGUUAAGAUGGGAUUGACCCCUCCGAAUUAGUAGGAGUUAAUGUAUCAAUGUAUUUUAAUUUAUUAAAAUCUGAGCCCAAAUAAUUCAUAUGAUGGAUUUGAAAGAUUGAAAUAUAAUUUGGAUGACUUAUCUAGGAUUGAUAAUUAAAUCUUAGGUAGGUUGUCCUCGAGUAUUAGGGUCAAAAGGAUGAAUUAUACGGUAACCAUACAUCAAUAAGUUCUUGAAUGUUACUUCACC